GCAGAGAUACCCAAGAGGCUUAAGGGGCCGCAUUGGAAAUGCGGUAGGCGGGUAACUCCCGUGCAAGGGUUCAAAUCCCUUUCUCUGCGCCA
RNAcentral lists this transfer RNA (92 nucleotides) under Oscillospiraceae bacterium. Its description in RNAcentral is "tRNA-Ser". It matches the Rfam family "tRNA". From Rfam's summary of the family: Transfer RNA (tRNA) molecules are approximately 80 nucleotides in length. Their secondary structure includes four short double-helical elements and three loops (D, anti-codon, and T loops). The record is from RNAcentral. Lineage: Bacteria; Bacillati; Bacillota; Clostridia; Eubacteriales; Oscillospiraceae.